UACGUAUGGUGCAAGCGUUAUCCGGAUUUACUGGGCGUAAAGGGAGCGCAGGCGGCGCGCCAAGUCUGAUGUGAAACCCCGGGGCUCAACCCCGGGCAUGCAUUGGAAACUGGCGGGCUGGAGUGCCGGAGAGGUAAGCGGAAUUCCUAGUGUAGCGGUGAAAUGCGUAGAUAUUAGGAGGAACACCAGUGGCGAAGGCGGCUUUCUGGACUGAAACUGACGCUGAGGCACGAAAGCGUGGGGAGCGAACAGG
RNAcentral lists this ribosomal RNA (253 nucleotides) under uncultured bacterium. RNAcentral's name for it is "partial 16S ribosomal RNA". It matches the Rfam family "Bacterial small subunit ribosomal RNA", at positions 524 to 776 of the family's 1533-position model. The record is from RNAcentral.